ACGCUCGACACCUACGGGGGGCAGCAGUAGGGAAUCUUCCACAAUGGACGCAAGUCUGAUGGAGCAACGCCGCGUGAGUGAAGAAGGUUUUCGGAUCGUAAAGCUCUGUUGUUGGUGAAGAAGGAUAGAGGUAGUAACUGGCCUUUAUUUGACGGUAAUCAACCAGAAAGUCACGGCUAACUACGUGCUAGCAGCCGCGGUAAUCUGAGCGGGCUGGCAAGGC
RNAcentral lists this ribosomal RNA (223 nucleotides) under uncultured bacterium. Its description in RNAcentral is "partial 16S ribosomal RNA". It matches the Rfam family "Bacterial small subunit ribosomal RNA", at positions 328 to 539 of the family's 1533-position model. The record is from RNAcentral.